CCUACGGGUGGCAGCAGUGGGGGAUAUUGCACAAUGGGGGGAACCCUGAUGCAGCGACGCCGCGUGGGUGAAGAAGCGCCUCGGCGUGUAAAGCCCUGUCAGCAGGGAAGAAAAUGACGGUACCUGAAGAAGAAGCCCCGGCUAACUACGUGCCAGCAGCCGCGGGAAUACGUAGGGGGCCAGCGUUAUCCGGAUUUACUGGGUGUAAAGGGGGCGUAGACGGCGAUGCAAGCCAGGAGUGAAAGCCCCGGGCCCAACCCCGGGACUGCUCUUGGAACUGCGUGGCUGGAGUGCAGGAGGGGUAGGCGGAAUGCCUGGUGUAGCGGUGAAAUGCGUAGAUAUCAGGAGGAACACCGAUGGCGAAGGCGGCCUGCUGGACUGCAACUGACGUUGAGGCCCGAAAGCGUGGGGAGCGAACAGGAUUAGAUACCCCAGUAGUC
RNAcentral lists this ribosomal RNA (440 nucleotides) under uncultured bacterium. RNAcentral describes it as "partial 16S ribosomal RNA". It matches the Rfam family "Bacterial small subunit ribosomal RNA", at positions 338 to 795 of the family's 1533-position model. The record is from RNAcentral.